Molecule: ribosomal RNA, 229 nt
Filed under: uncultured prokaryote
Description: partial 16S ribosomal RNA
Rfam family: Bacterial small subunit ribosomal RNA
Source: RNAcentral
UACGAGGGGGGCGAGCGUUGUUCGGAAUUAUUGGGCGUAAAGCGCGCGUAGGCGGUUUGUUAAGUCGGAUGUGAAAUCCCUGGGCUCAACCUAGGCAUUGCAUACGAUACUGGCAAGCUAGAGUAUGGGAGAGGAAGGUAGAAUUCCAGGUGUAGCGGUGAAAUGCGUAGAGAUCUGGAGGAAUACCGAUGGCGAAGGCAGCCUUCUGGCCUAAUACUGACGCUGAUGC